AUUGAACGCUGGCGGCAGGCCUAACACAUGCCAGUCGAACGGUAACAGGAAGAAGCUUGCUUCUUUGCUGACGAGUGGCGGACGGGUGAGUAAUGUCUGGGAAACUGCCUGAUGGAGGGGGAUAACUACUGGAAACGGUAGCUAAUACCGCAUAACGUCGCAAGACCAAAGAGGGGGACCUUCGGGCCUCUUGCCAUCGGAUGUGCCCAGAUGGGAUUAGCUAGUAGGUGGGGUAACGGCUCACCUAGGCGACGAUCCCUAGCUGGUCUGAGAGGAUGACCAGCCACACUGGAACUGAGACACGGUCCAGACUCCUACGGGAGGCAGCAGUGGGGAAUAUUGCACAAUGGGCGCAAGCCUGAUGCAGCCAUGCCGCGUGUAUGAAGAAGGCCUUCGGGUUGUAAAGUACUUUCAGCGGGGAGGAAGGGAAUAAAGUUAAUACCUUUGCUCAUUGACGUUACCCGCAGAAGAAGCACCGGCUAACUCCGUG
Molecule: ribosomal RNA, 490 nt
Filed under: uncultured bacterium
Lineage: Bacteria
Description: partial 16S ribosomal RNA
Rfam family: Bacterial small subunit ribosomal RNA
Source: RNAcentral